GCGGGGGGCGGGGCGUCCCAAUCAUGCUAGGCUAGGCCUAGUCACCACCCCCCCCAGCAAAAAGCCCAUAGAAGAGGCGGCCUAUAGAGUUCAGUAGAAAAACCCACCAACCUCGAACAAGAACAAGUUCCCUGAGGUGCAGCUGACAAACCAAGAUUCAUAGAAGAUCCACAAAAUCCUGAAAAAUGCAUGAUAUCUGCUUAAGCUUCAUCAGAGGAAGUUUGAGUCACACGAUGAGAUCCUAGUUAAGCUGGCACCCCCUGGAUAUGAUAUUGGACAUUGGACUAUAACCUGUGGACUAAAUUCUAAAGGAACUCUUUGCAACUACAAAGCUCACCAUCUCUGCUGUGUAUCUGAAG
Chelonia mydas (Green sea turtle) is the source of this 359-nucleotide long non-coding RNA. RefSeq lists it as uncharacterized. Lineage: Eukaryota; Metazoa; Chordata; Testudines; Cheloniidae. The record is from RefSeq and is a predicted model, not a curated record. The transcript has 3 exons.